This 347-nucleotide unclassified non-coding RNA is filed under the name soil metagenome. Its description in RNAcentral is "partial contains 5.8S ribosomal RNA, internal transcribed spacer 2, and large subunit ribosomal RNA". The stretch from base 1 to 120 matches the Rfam family "5.8S ribosomal RNA", at positions 35 to 154 of the family's 154-position model. The record is from RNAcentral.
GAUGAAGAACGUAGCGAAAUGCGAUACGUAAUGUGAAUUGCAGAAUUCAGUGAAUCAUCGAGUCUUUGAACGCACAUUGCGCCCCCUGGUAUUCCGGGGGGCAUGCCUGUCCGAGCGUCAUUUCAACCCUCAAGCCCCUCCGGGGGCCUGGCGUUGGGGAUCGGCCCCGCUCCGGCGGCCGGCCCCGAAAUGUAGUGGCGGUCUCGCCGCUGCCUCCUCUGCGUAGUAGAAACACCUCGCAUUGGGACGCGGCGGGCCCACGCCGUUAACCAGAUGAAUUUUUUCAAGGUUGACCUCGGAUCAGGUAGGAAUACCCGCUGAACUUAAGCAUAUCAAUAAGCGGAGGA